This is a long non-coding RNA of Vicia villosa (hairy vetch), 1404 nucleotides long. RefSeq lists it as uncharacterized. The record is from RefSeq and is a predicted model, not a curated record. Lineage: Eukaryota; Viridiplantae; Streptophyta; Magnoliopsida; Fabales; Fabaceae. The transcript is spliced from 7 exons.
UUCUCAACUAUGCACUACUAGCCUAGCCCUCUCAUUUCAUAUUUCUAUUUCUCUCUCCAAAUACAAAUUUCACUCUCUCUCUCUCGUCUCUUUCACCCAGAAAAACCCUAUCGCCUCCCUCUCUUCUCGUCUCUCUUUCCUUCCCCAACCCUAGCGCCACAGCCACUUUCUCCACCCUCUAUACGACCAUAACCACCUCCGAUUACGAAACUAACCUCAUAUUCGUUAUCCCCAUCUCAUUGCCUUCCAAAUGAACCAAAGGUUUUGGCGAAUCCUAUCGUCGACCACCGUCACAGCUCAUCUAACGAAGAGAAACCUCAGUCAUGGCUUCAAGUUUAAAGAGGGAAGUUUCCAUGUUUUUAUUUGAUUUUUAAUUUUAGUUUUGAAUCGUUGUUCUGUAAUUUUUGUUUUCAUUUGGUUUUGUUUUACGGUUUUGAUAGUUUCUGGCCUUGAAGGUGAAUAACAACAGUAGCAAUCAUCAUAAAUUCAUAUCAUUGUCUUGACGGUUAAUGAUUUUCAUAUAUGAUUGUUCCAUCGGUCGAAACAGAAUGAAUAUUUCUUGACCUUUCAUCAGUUGAUCUUGCUUCCAGACAUGUCAAGGCCUUCUAUCAUGAUUUGCGACUUGCUGCCAGAACAAAACAACUCUGUAAAUGGAAGUGUGCCCAAAAUUUCAUACCUGUGGUUAGUGUUGAAUGAAAAGAUUAAAGUGAAUACAAUAUUCUUUAGAGAUUCAAUUGGUGUCCCUGAUUCUAUGUUGCUCUUAUUUGGCGGGAACAUAUCCAAAGGUGGAAUGGAUGGUCACCUAAAAAUGUUGGGUAUCUGGUAUUUUUCAUGAAACCAGAAUAAGCCAAAACUUACUCAACUUUAAAGAGGGAACUGGGGGAAUUGAUAUAGAAAAAAGUGCUACAAUGCAAUUUAACACAAGUUCUUUUCUUGAUUGGAAGUGUAAAUAAGAGCUGAAUGUGAUUCUUCAAUGCAGUCAUUAUAUGCCUAUAGAAAGUCUUAUGGAAAGCUGAAUGCGAUAGAAACAUGAUGCCAUGGAUUAUAAUUGUAUAUCUCAGUGUCUAUUAUUUGAUCACUGUUAAUGGCUUAUACUUAUUCGAACGAUGUUGGUUAUACAUAUUCGAGCGGUGUUGGCAUUCCCAAUUUUGAAACAAUCUGGUGACAUUUCUAUAUCAAAUAGAAUUGGGAUGUUCGUGUCAAGCAAAAAACCAGAUUAUUUAGCAGAUAUGAUGAAUAUUUGUUUUGUUGCAGAUAACAUUUGAGCUGAUAGUAAAAGCUGUGAGGAUUGAAUUGUACUUCUUCUAUGUUAUAAAAAAAAGCCACGUUCCUUCAAAUUUCCAACAAGAUGUGUACUUCAUUUGUAUUAUCAAAUUAAUAAGAAAUCUCACCCAAUAAAGCCUA